RNAcentral lists this ribosomal RNA (409 nucleotides) under Actinomycetes bacterium. Its description in RNAcentral is "Actinobacteria bacterium partial 16S ribosomal RNA". It matches the Rfam family "Bacterial small subunit ribosomal RNA", at positions 355 to 776 of the family's 1533-position model. The record is from RNAcentral. Lineage: Bacteria; Bacillati; Actinomycetota; Actinomycetes.
UGGGGAAUAUUGCACAAUGGGCGGAAGCCUGAUGCAGCGACGCCGCGUGGGGGAUGAAGGCCUUCGGGUUGUAAACUCCUUUCGACAGGGACGAAGCUUUUGUGACGGUACCUGUAUAAGAAGCACCGGCUAACUACGUGCCAGCAGCCGCGGUAAUACGUAGGGUGCGAGCGUUGUCCGGAAUUACUGGGCGUAACGAGCUCGUAGGUGGUUUGUCGCGUCGUCUGUGAAAUUCCGGGGCUUAACUCCGGGCGUGCAGGCGAUACGGGCUGACUUGAGUGCUGUAGGGGAGACUGGAAUUCCUCGUGGGGCGGUGAAAUGCGCAGAUAUCAGGAGGAACACCGAUGGCGAAGGCAGGUCUCUGGGCAGUAACUGACGCUGAGGAGCGAAAGCAUGGGUAGCGAACAGG